UGGGGAAUCUUGCGCAAUGGGCGAAAGCCUGACGCAGCGACGCCGCGUGGGGGAAGAAGGCCUUCGGGUUGUAAACCUCUUUCAGCAGGGACGAAGCCACUCGGGUGAAUAGCCCAGAGGGUGACGGUACCUGCAGAAGAAGCCCCGGCUAACUACGUGCCAGCAGCCGCGGUAAUACGUAGGGGGCAAGCGUUGUCCGGAUUUAUUGGGCGUAAAGAGCGUGUAGGCGGCCAGGCAGGUCCGUUGUGAAAACUGGAGGCUUAACCUUCAGACGUCGAUGGAAACCGUCUGGCUAGAGUCCGGAAGAGGAGAGUGGAAUUCCUGGUGUAGCGGUGAAAUGCGCAGAUAUCAGGAAGAACACCCGUGGCUAAGGGGGCUCUCUAGUACGGUACUGACGCUGAGACGCGAAAGCGUGGGGAGCGAACAGG
RNAcentral lists this ribosomal RNA (428 nucleotides) under Bacillota bacterium. RNAcentral's name for it is "Firmicutes bacterium partial 16S ribosomal RNA". It matches the Rfam family "Bacterial small subunit ribosomal RNA", at positions 355 to 776 of the family's 1533-position model. The record is from RNAcentral. Lineage: Bacteria; Bacillati; Bacillota.